ACUUUUGUGGCGUAGUGGUUUAAGCAUCAGACUAUGACUCUGAAGAACAGGGUUCAUAUCCUGGCUUGGUCA
Non-coding RNA from Phrynosoma platyrhinos (Desert horned lizard), 72 nucleotides. The record is from the annotation of a GenBank genome assembly. Lineage: Eukaryota; Metazoa; Chordata; Lepidosauria; Squamata; Phrynosomatidae.